This 64-nucleotide transfer RNA is filed under the name Cteniopus sp. AH-2016. RNAcentral describes it as "tRNA-Phe". Lineage: Eukaryota; Metazoa; Arthropoda; Insecta; Coleoptera; Tenebrionidae. The record is from RNAcentral.
ACUUAUAUAGCUUAUAUAGAGCAUAACACUGAAGAUGUUAGUGAAACAGUAUUGUUUAUAAGUA